Molecule: long non-coding RNA, 472 nt
Organism: Enhydra lutris kenyoni (northern sea otter)
Lineage: Eukaryota; Metazoa; Chordata; Mammalia; Carnivora; Mustelidae
Exons: 3
Source: RefSeq, a predicted model, not a curated record
ACCCGGCCGGGACUGCCCACUCACCAUCUAGGACGUGGAACUGGUCUGCGGCCUCGCAGAAACCUGAAGGCCCAAGCAGGGGUACAGGACGGCGUAGCCCUCAUAGUCCGUCUCUCCGACGACCACGUCCACUGCACGGGCACCUGGAGCCGGCCAGAGUCAGCCGAGUCAGCUCCUCCCCCCAGCCCCGCACCCCAUCCCUGAUGCCCUGGUCUCACCUGGAAGCAGGAAGCGGCCCGGGACUCCCACGUCUCGGAAGCCGCACGUGGAGGCCACAGCCACAAGGAGCCACGUCCCUGCAAACUAGGGGCAGGCCAUGUGAGGGCACACGGGGAUGAGGGGCUGCCUGGCCCUGGCCCCUGGAAAGCUAGGUGAGAUCCUGCCCACCCCCCUGUCCCCCUCUACCUGCUGAGCAUCAAAGUUGGCCUUUGGCGGUAUGGUGCUGAUGGGGGACGGGGGCUGAGGAGGUCUC